UGCUGUUCUCAUGAUAGUGAAUAAGUCUCACAAGAUCUCAUGGUUUUAAAAAGGGGAGUUCCCUGCACAAGCUCUCUUCUCUUGUCUGCCACCAUGUGAGAUAUGCCUUUCACUUUCUGCCACGAUUGUGAGGCCUCUCAAGCCACGUGGAACUGUCACGAAAUCAAGGCCAUGAUGAUUAAAUGGCAACCAAGGUCACACAACUAGUUAGUGGUAAGCCAAAGUGAGAAGACAGGUUUCCUGAGAGAGAGGCUAGAAGAUAAGCUCUGCACCACUCUGCCUGGAUUAGAGAUCCUGUUACGCCAACUUUACACUGUCUCCUGUGGGACUUUUCCACACCUGGUCCAGCCUAACUCUCCAGUCUCUUCAGAGCUUAAAAUAGUCCAGUUGCCAGACAACUGUUUAUCUACUUUGAGCCCCAUGGAACGAGGAGUGGGGUGAAAGUGAGUCUUGGAAAACAGAAUAGAUUCCGCCAACCUUCCAGCCAGAGGAGGCCUCGUGACCCAGUUCUACCCAAACAGACCCAAACAGAAGCACCUGACAAGAAAGUGGUUAUGUUUCUAGAGCUGCAUCAGCUAUUUAUAACCAUGAUGGCAAGUCCCAGAGAACUGGUCUUGCCAUCACUGAGCAGUUGAACCAAUACCAGCAUCACCAACUUUCCUGUAUAUGAGAAAAAUAAACUCUAUUUCUUUUAGCCACU
This 700-nucleotide long non-coding RNA is filed under the name Homo sapiens (human). Its description in RNAcentral is "HSALNT0140748". The record is from RNAcentral. Lineage: Eukaryota; Metazoa; Chordata; Mammalia; Primates; Hominidae.